RNAcentral lists this long non-coding RNA (289 nucleotides) under Panax ginseng (ginseng). RNAcentral's name for it is "long non-coding RNA (PGIN_LNC009413)". The record is from RNAcentral. Lineage: Eukaryota; Viridiplantae; Streptophyta; Magnoliopsida; Apiales; Araliaceae.
UCAAAUAAGAAAACAGUUCAAUUUAGAAUACACAUGGGAUUCCAUUAAAAUCUUAAAUUAAAAAUAACAUGUUCAUAGCAGAUAAAAUCAUAAUCUACAAAAUAUUCAACAUCAAUAAAAGAUAGAAGAUAAAUAAGAGUUUAGAGAAGAAAAAAGGCUCCCACAUGUCUUCUAACUCUGGGUUUCAUCAAUCUCUAAUCUCCAUCGCUGAUGAUAUCUUGUUUGCACUUGAACUUGGAAUUUAAUGGUAGAGGAUUAGCCUCACAUGGCGUUCAUUGGCCUUUCCCCG